Molecule: ribosomal RNA, 635 nt
Filed under: Oxalobacteraceae bacterium So3Ps_1814
Lineage: Bacteria; Pseudomonadati; Pseudomonadota; Betaproteobacteria; Burkholderiales; Oxalobacteraceae
Description: bacterial SSU rRNA
Rfam family: Bacterial small subunit ribosomal RNA
Source: RNAcentral
GCCUGAUCCAGCAAUGCCGCGUGAGUGAAGAAGGCCUUCGGGUUGUAAAGCUCUUUUGUCAGGGAAGAAACGGCCUGUUCUAAUACAGUGGGCUAAUGACGGUACCUGAAGAAUAAGCACCGGCUAACUACGUGCCAGCAGCCGCGGUAAUACGUAGGGUGCAAGCGUUAAUCGGAAUUACUGGGCGUAAAGCGUGCGCAGGCGGUUUUGUAAGACUGUCGUGAAAUCCCCGGGCUCAACCUGGGAAUGGCGAUGGUGACUGCAAGGCUAGAGUUUGGCAGAGGGGGGUAGAAUUCCACGUGUAGCAGUGAAAUGCGUAGAUAUGUGGAGGAACACCGAUGGCGAAGGCAGCCCCCUGGGUCAAAACUGACGCUCAUGCACGAAAGCGUGGGGAGCAAACAGGAUUAGAUACCCUGGUAGUCCACGCCCUAAACGAUGUCUACUAGUUGUCGGGUCUUAAUUGACUUGGUAACGCAGCUAACGCGUGAAGUAGACCGCCUGGGGAGUACGGUCGCAAGAUUAAAACUCAAAGGAAUUGACGGGGACCCGCACAAGCGGUGGAUGAUGUGGAUUAAUUCGAUGCAACGCGAAAAACCUUACCUACCCUUGACAUGGAAGGAAUCCCUGAGAGAUUG